UACGGAGGAUGCGAGCGUUAUCCGGAUUUAUUGGGUUUAAAGGGUGCGUAGGCGGGUUAUCAAGUCAGCGGUAAAAUCGUGGAGCUCAACUCCAUCCAGCCGUUGAAACUGGCGGCCUCGAGUGGGCGAGAAGUAUGCGGAAUGCGUGGUGUAGCGGUGAAAUGCAUAGAUAUCACGCAGAACUCCGAUUGCGAAGGCAGCAUACCGGCGCCCGACUGACGCUGAGGCGCGAAAGCGUGGGGAGCAAACAGG
Molecule: ribosomal RNA, 252 nt
Filed under: uncultured Bacteroidales bacterium
Lineage: Bacteria; Pseudomonadati; Bacteroidota; Bacteroidia; Bacteroidales
Description: partial 16S ribosomal RNA
Rfam family: Bacterial small subunit ribosomal RNA
Source: RNAcentral